AAAGCAUCUAAGCACGAAACUUGCCCCGAGAUGAGUUCUCCCUGAGACUAUAAGUCUCCUGAAGGAACGUUAAAGACGAUGACGUUGAUAGGCCGGGUGUGUAAGCGCAGCGAUGCGUUGAGCUAACCGGUACUAAUGAACCGUGAGGCUUAACCUUACAACGCCGAAG
RNAcentral lists this ribosomal RNA (169 nucleotides) under Klebsiella pneumoniae. Its description in RNAcentral is "partial 23S ribosomal RNA". It matches the Rfam family "Bacterial large subunit ribosomal RNA", at positions 2774 to 2925 of the family's 2925-position model. Lineage: Bacteria; Pseudomonadati; Pseudomonadota; Gammaproteobacteria; Enterobacterales; Enterobacteriaceae. The record is from RNAcentral.